Amphiprion ocellaris (clown anemonefish) is the source of this 660-nucleotide long non-coding RNA. RefSeq lists it as uncharacterized. The transcript is spliced from 2 exons. The record is from RefSeq and is a predicted model, not a curated record. NCBI's taxonomy places the organism in Eukaryota, Metazoa, Chordata, Actinopteri, Pomacentridae.
AGGAAGGAGAUAGAGAGUGUGUGUGUCUUAGUGUGUUUGUGUGCUUAAAACCGGCCACGGGAGCGCGCCUGUGAGCGGCAUUUUAAAUAGAAGAGAGAGAGAGGAGAGAGAAGAAGGAGCAGAAGGAGAGGGGGUUAUUAUUCAAGAGUGCUGCAGUCAGACGCGCUGCAAGGAGGGGAAAAACGGAGAAGGAGGUGGGCAAUCAGUCAAUCAAAAAUCGUUUGCGUUCAGACUUUGUGUGUCUUUUUUGUUUUUUGUUUUUUUUACAGGAGAGACGAGAUCGGAGCGGAGAGAGCAGAUGGAUGGAGCGCAGGAGAGGAGGAGGAGAGGAGGUGGAGGUGGUGGAGCCAAGUGACGCACAGAUCGAGCAGGGCUGCAGAAAGGGAAGACGGGAAGUAUGGAUUUCAGCCGCCCAGCUCCGCAGCAUGGCUGGAUUUGAUUAACUUUAGUGGUGAUGAUGAUGGUGGUGAUGAUGAAGCACCAGAAAAAUACAUGGUAUUAUUUCCAACAUUUGACAAUACAAUCCAAAUAUUGAUUAUUGCCAUGAUUUGGUUAUCUUUGUGCUUAAAAUCUGGAAAUCGAAAUGUCUUUGGCAAUUUAAUUUCCAUUCUAGAUCAUGUAUAUCCUUUUUUGCUAUUGAAUAUUAAAAACUUACUUAUU